Molecule: long non-coding RNA, 761 nt
Filed under: Gossypium barbadense (sea-island cotton)
Lineage: Eukaryota; Viridiplantae; Streptophyta; Magnoliopsida; Malvales; Malvaceae
Description: long non-coding RNA (GBAR_LNC012815)
Source: RNAcentral
GAUACAGAUAGAUGAGAGCUAGUACAAGACCAUAGUUGAACUAUGGCAUCAAGUAAACGAUGUACUCAAAACCAUAAGACGUUCUCCAAUUUGAUAAAUAUUGGCAAGUGAUUAAGACUAAAUAUGGGAAUUUGAUAAAACAUUAAGGGUCAUUUGAAAAAAAAGAAAUGAAAGUUUGAGUUAUGAUAAAUUCAAUUAUGUUUAGCUAAUAUUCGCACGAAAUAAAGUUGCAUGUAUUACUGAGAUAUGUGAAAAUGUGUUCAUAACAAGUUGGAAAUUUGAAAUGUUUGAAUCAAUAUGCGUAAAGCUAUAUUGUUGUUGAAUAUGUAUUUGCUUGAGAGUCAAAAGUUUAGAGGCUUUACAAUCUUCGCCCCCUUACCAGAAUAGAGUUAUACGAUGAGAUUCUCGAGAGAUAUGUUGCAUAAGCUUGCAAAAGUGAAACUAAAAAGUAUAAUAAUGGAAUAGUAUGGGAUUAGUGAAGACAGAAUUAGUUAGAGGAAUAAUGUCAGACUUGCACUGAUGUUUGAGUAUGUCGGAUUCAAUCAAAUAAAAGUGAUGGCUAUCUUUCUCUUCUGAGUAUUCUAUGUUUUCCUCAAUUCUGGGGAAUACGUAUGGUUAUCCCUUUCGAAUGGAAAUUCUAUCAUACGAGGAUGCUAGUGACUGUGAUAUUAGAUGAAAAGCUCUAUUGGUCCAGUUAGUUAUAAUUGACAUUUUCCCCAUCUCUUCAGAUUUCUAUUCUGAUAUAUUGGAAUGAAGUUGAU